This 21-nucleotide non-coding RNA is filed under the name Caenorhabditis elegans. The record is from RNAcentral. Lineage: Eukaryota; Metazoa; Nematoda; Chromadorea; Rhabditida; Rhabditidae.
UACACCCAGAACUAAAUUCAG